RNAcentral lists this ribosomal RNA (469 nucleotides) under uncultured Pseudomonadota bacterium. RNAcentral's name for it is "bacterial SSU rRNA". It matches the Rfam family "Bacterial small subunit ribosomal RNA", at positions 45 to 509 of the family's 1533-position model. Lineage: Bacteria; Pseudomonadati; Pseudomonadota. The record is from RNAcentral.
GGCUUAACACAUGCAAGUCGUGCGAGAAAGUACCUUCGGGUGCGAGUAGAGCGGCGGACGGGUGAGUAACGCGUAGGAAUCUACCUAGUAGAAGGGGAUAGCCCGGGGAAACUCGGAUUAAUACCGUAUACCUCCUUAGGGAGAAAGAGGGCUUAGCUUUGAUGCUCUCGCUAUUAGAUGAGCCUGCGUAAGAUUAGCUUGUUGGUGAGGUAAUGGCUCACCAAGGCGACGAUCUUUAGCUGGUCUGAGAGGACGAUCAGCCACAUUGGGACUGAGACACGGCCCAGACUCCUACGGGAGGCAGCAGUGGGGAAUAUUGGACAAUGGGCGCAAGCCUGAUCCAGCCAUACCGCGUGUGUGAAGAAGGCUUUCGGGUUGUAAAGCACUUUAAGUAAGGAGGAAAAGAUUGUAGUUAAUACCUGCAAUCCGUGACGUUACUUACAGAAUAAGGACCGGCUAAUUCCGUGCC